RNAcentral lists this unclassified non-coding RNA (257 nucleotides) under plant metagenome. RNAcentral's name for it is "partial contains small subunit ribosomal RNA, internal transcribed spacer 1, and 5.8S ribosomal RNA". The stretch from base 1 to 53 matches the Rfam family "Eukaryotic small subunit ribosomal RNA", at positions 1778 to 1831 of the family's 1831-position model. The record is from RNAcentral.
GGAAGUAAAAGUGUAACAAGGUUUCCGUAGGUGAACCUGCGGAAGGAUCAUUAGUGAAUAUUAGGGCGUCUACUUCGGUAGGGCCUGACCUCCACUUUCUAACUCUGUGCACUUAUUUGGCGGAAAAGGGAAUUAGUAAUCUGUCUAAUGACGAUUGCGACUUCUUACUUUCUGCGGCUUACUUUAAACACUAGUCAAAGUAUGUAACGAAAUAUCGAAACAAAUAAAAACUUUCAACAACGGAUCUCUUGGCUCUC